RNAcentral lists this ribosomal RNA (406 nucleotides) under uncultured bacterium. RNAcentral describes it as "bacterial SSU rRNA". It matches the Rfam family "Bacterial small subunit ribosomal RNA", at positions 247 to 645 of the family's 1533-position model. The record is from RNAcentral.
AGUUGGUAAGGUAAUGGCUUACCAAGGCAACGAUCAGUAGUUGGUCUGAGAGGACGACCAGCCACACUGGGACUGAGACACGGCCCAGACUCCUACGGGAGGCAGCAGUGGGGAAUUUUGGACAAUGGGCGCAAGCCUGAUCCAGCAAUGCCGCGUGAGUGAAGAAGGCCUUCGGGUUGUAAAGCUCUUUCAGUUGAGAAGAAAAGAUUGUGACUAAUAAUUGCAAUUCAUGACGGUAUCAACAGAAGAAGCACCGGCUAACUACGUGCCAGCAGCCGCGGUAAUACGUAGGGUGCGAGCGUUAAUCGGAAUUACUGGGCGUAAAGGGUGCGCAGGCGGCUCUGCAAGUCAGAUGUGAAAUCCCCGGGCUUAACCUGGGAACUGCGUUUGAAACUACAAAGCUAGA